UUUCCAAAUCCACAGGGAUCCCGACACCUCUGCGCUGGCACUGGCUAAAAAAAAAAAAAAAAACAUCGAAAAAAUAAAAUUAUUUCUACAAAAAAUUAACGAAAAAAAAAAAUAACCCAAACAAACAAACAACCUCCUCAAGGCUGUGGGGAGCAGUGAGGGAGAGCCACAACCCCCAGGAUUCCUGCCUAAAAUUCAAGCUUCCAUGGAUUUUUUUUCCAUUUAAAAUUCCCGAGGGUCAGGGCAUGUCACAGAACCUAAUUAGCAUCUUCCUCCCAUCCUCCAAUCUCACUUGGAUUCUGCCUAUAUUUGUAUUUUUUCUAGUUUUUUUUUUUUUUGUUAAAUAUAUAUAUAUAUAUAUAUAUUUUUUUUUUUUUUUUUUUUUGGGAAUGGGGCUUGGGGGGGGCCAGGCCGCUCCCCCCUUCCCAAAGGCCUCCUGCUCCUUUAGGGGAGACCCCAAAAAAACCUUUUUUUUAAAUUUUUUUUCCCCCCAAAAAAGGAAUUUCAGAGGCGUUUUUGGGGCCCCGCUGGGCGGAGGGAAAAAAAAUUUAAAUUCCCUGGGUGGGUGUGGGGGGGAAAAAAAAAAAUUCCCUGGGGGAGGAGGGGGGGAUUUGGGAUUCCCCCAACCCCCCAAAAUUCUGCCGGCAGCGGGGGCUGGGCUGACUCAGGCACUUCCUGGGCACUGCGGGGUGGGGAUGGAUGUGGGGACACAGGGAUGGACAGAGGGAUGGACAGAGGGAUGGACACAGGGAUGGACACGGUGAUGGACACAGGGAAUGGACAGAGG
RNAcentral lists this long non-coding RNA (787 nucleotides) under Chloebia gouldiae (Gouldian finch). Its description in RNAcentral is "Erythrura gouldiae (Gouldian finch) lncRNA (ENSEGOG00005017872.1)". The record is from RNAcentral. Lineage: Eukaryota; Metazoa; Chordata; Aves; Passeriformes; Passeridae.